GACGAACGCUGGCGGCGUGCCUAAUACAUGCAAGUAGAACGCUGAAGAGAGGAGCUUGCUCUUCUUGGAUGAGUUGCGAACGGGUGAGUAACGCGUAGGUAACCUGCCUUGUUGCGGGGGAUAACUAUUGGAAACGAUAGCUAAUACCGCAUAACAAUGGAUGACACAUGUCAUUUAUUUGAAAGGGGCAAUUGCUCCACUACAAGAUGGACCUGCGUUGUAUUAGCUAGUAGGUGAGGUAAUGGCUCACCUAGGCGACGAUACAUAGCCGACCUGAGAGGGUGAUCGGCCACACUGGGACUGAGACACGGCCCAGACUCCUACGGGAGGCAGCAGUAGGGAAUCUUCGGCAAUGGGGGCAACCCUGACCGAGCAACGCCGCGUGAGUGAAGAAGGUUUUCGGAUCGUAAAGCUCUGUUGUAAGUCAAGAACGGGUGUGAGAGUGGAAAGUUCACACUGUGACGGUAGCUUACCAGAAAGGGACGGCUAACUACGUGCCAGCAGCCGCGGUAAUACGUAGGUCCCGAGCGUUGUCCGGAUUUAUUGGGCGUAAAGCGAGCGCAGGCGGUUUGAUAAGUCUGAAGUUAAAGGCUGUGGCUCAACCAUAGUUCGCUUUGGAAACUGUCAAACUUGAGUGCAGAAGGGGAGAGUGGAAUUCCAUGUGUAGCGGUGAAAUGCGUAGAUAUAUGGAGGAACACCGGUGGCGAAAGCGGCUCUCUGGUCUGUAACUGACGCUGAGGCUCGAAAGCGUGGGGAGCGAACAGGAUCAGAUACCCUGGUAGUCCACGCCGUAAACGAUGAGUGCUAGGUGUUGGAUCCUUUCCGGGAUUCAGUGCCGCAGCUAACGCAUUAAGCACUCCGCCUGGGGAGUACGACCGCAAGGUUGAAACUCAAAGGAAUUGACGGGGGCCCGCACAAGCGGUGGAGCAUGUGGUUUAAUUCGAAGCAACGCGAAGAACCUUACCAGGUCUUGACAUCCCGAUGCUAUUUCUAGAGAUAGAAAGUUACUUCGGUACAUCGGUGACAGGUGGUGCAUGGUUGUCGUCAGCUCGUGUCGUGAGAUGUUGGGUUAAGUCCCGCAACGAGCGCAACCCCUAUUGUUAGUUGCCAUCAUUCAGUUGGGCACUCUAGCGAGACUGCCGGUAAUAAACCGGAGGAAGGUGGGGAUGACGUCAAAUCAUCAUGCCCCUUAUGACCUGGGCUACACACGUGCUACAAUGGUUGGUACAACGAGUUGCGAGUCGGUGACGGCGAGCUAAUCUCUUAAAGCCAAUCUCAGUUCGGAUUGUAGGCUGCAACUCGCCUACAUGAAGUCGGAAUCGCUAGUAAUCGCGGAUCAGCACGCCGCGGUGAAUACGUUCCCGGGCCU
RNAcentral lists this ribosomal RNA (1369 nucleotides) under uncultured bacterium. RNAcentral describes it as "bacterial SSU rRNA". It matches the Rfam family "Bacterial small subunit ribosomal RNA", at positions 28 to 1381 of the family's 1533-position model. The record is from RNAcentral.